This 496-nucleotide ribosomal RNA is filed under the name uncultured bacterium. RNAcentral describes it as "partial 16S ribosomal RNA". It matches the Rfam family "Bacterial small subunit ribosomal RNA", at positions 28 to 506 of the family's 1533-position model. The record is from RNAcentral.
GAUGAACGCUGGCGGCGUGCCUAAUACAUGCAAGUCGAGCGAACGGACGAGAAGCUUGCUUCUCUGAUGUUAGCGGCGGACGGGUGAGUAACACGUGGAUAACCUACCUAUAAGACUGGGAUAACUUCGGGAAACCGGAGCUAAUACCGGAUAAUAUUUUGAACCGCAUGGUUCAAAAGUGAAAGACGGUCUUGCUGUCACUUAUAGAUGGAUCCGCGCUGCAUUAGCUAGUUGGUAAGGUAACGGCUUACCAAGGCAACGAUGCAUAGCCGACCUGAGAGGGUGAUCGGCCACACUGGAACUGAGACACGGUCCAGACUCCUACGGGAGGCAGCAGUAGGGAAGCUUCCGCAAUGGGCGAAAGCCUGACGGAGCAACGCCGCGUGAGUGAUGAAGGUCUUCGGAUCGUAAAACUCUGUUAUUAGGGAAGAACAUAUGUGUAAGUAACUGUGCACAUCUUGACGGUACCGAAACAGAAAGCCACGGCUAACUACGU